Molecule: ribosomal RNA, 476 nt
Filed under: uncultured bacterium
Lineage: Bacteria
Description: partial 16S ribosomal RNA
Rfam family: Bacterial small subunit ribosomal RNA
Source: RNAcentral
GACGAACGCUGGCGGCGUGCCUAACACAUGCAAGUCGAGCGAUGAAGCCCUUCGGGGUGGAUUAGCGGCGGACGGGUGAGUAACACGUGGGUAACCUGCCUCAAAGAGGGGGAUAGCCUCCCGAAAGGGAGAUUAAUACCGCAUAACAUUAGUUUUUCGCAUGAAGAACUAAUUAAAGGAGUAAUCCGCUUUGAGAUGGACCCGCGGCGCAUUAGCUAGUUGGUGAGGUAAAGGCUCACCAAGGCGACGAUGCGUAGCCGACCUGAGAGGGUGAUCGGCCACAUUGGAACUGAGACACGGUCCAGACUCCUACGGGAGGCAGCAGUGGGGAAUAUUGCACAAUGGGCGAAAGCCUGAUGCAGCAACGCCGCGUGAGUGAUGAAGGCCUUCGGGUUGUAAAGCUCUGUCUUUGGGGACGAUAAUGACGGUACCCAAGGAGGAAGCCACGGCUAACUACGUGCCAGCAGCAGCCGCCG